Molecule: non-coding RNA, 1108 nt
Organism: Paramuricea clavata
Lineage: Eukaryota; Metazoa; Cnidaria; Anthozoa; Malacalcyonacea; Plexauridae
Source: the annotation of a GenBank genome assembly
UUCUCUUCUUGUCCAUACUGGCUCCUGCUUCUUCAGUAAACCUGCCAGACGGGAUAUUUGCCACCUUCAUCACCUCGUGCCGCGCCUUCGAACCGCUGUCAAAUUGGAGUACAGCAGACAAAGCAGCCAUUUUGAUUGCCUUUGGGCUCUUAUACUUGUGCUUUAGUGCUUUAGACCAGACUAUUCCAUUCAGGCUUUCAUUCUGGUUUGGGGAAUAGCUUAUCAUACCAUACCUUGUAUUCAUCCGAAUCAUUAUCUGCCUUCUGUUUGUUACACAAAGUACAAAUCUUUGACCGAAAACCAUAAUCAAGAACUUGGCCUGUCUCUACAGGUAUAAUAAAUCCAUAGGAAGCUGUAUGUCCCCUCUUUGACCAAGUACCAUUAUACAUUUAUGUCCUUCUUGAAAUGCUUGGUGAACAUUUGACAAAUUGAAGAAAAGAUAGCCAGAGUCUUCACUAAAAUAUGGCUUUGAUGGGUCCCCCCAGUGUAUCAAUUUCUUCGUCACCGUCCAUACUCCAUAGUGGCAUUUGUACCCUCUCAUACGUCUACAGAUGAUACAAUUUUCUUCUCGCUUGCUGUAAGUGGCCGGUUUUCUUCUGUCUCGCAAGUGUUAGUAACAUGUAGUUCUGAAACUUCAUGUCCAGAAAUGGCCGACUGGUUAAUGUUGGCUCAACGCGAUAUUCAUCCACUAAUUUUGCCUUUUACCAUGAAGGAAUGCCACAAAAUUUGUCUUUAACCUUUCGUCUAGGCAUUAUUUAUAUAAACUUGGAAAAAUAGGCUGUGUUGUUAACGUAAAUUCGGGUGAAAUACUUUCAAAAAGUCAACAAUACUGCAUGAGAAAAACUUCCAAAACAAUAUGGCGACGUGUGACAAAUUUUAUACCAUUUCCCAACCCCCCCUGACAAGCACUUGUUCCCAGGACAUUUAGAAACAUAUUUUGAACACGGUCAAGUUAAAACUUAUGCAUAUUUAUGGUAUUUACCAGUUUUAAAGGCCGAUUUUUAAGCAAAAUUUUACCCGUUACCAUGGAUACGGAUUAAGAAAAUAUCAUUUUAUACAUUGUUAUUCACAAAAAGUCAAAUAUCUCGGGAACUAAGCGGAAUUUUAG